RNAcentral lists this RNase P RNA (514 nucleotides) under Sedimentisphaerales bacterium. RNAcentral's name for it is "RNase P RNA component class A". It matches the Rfam family "Bacterial RNase P class A". Rfam says of the family: Ribonuclease P (RNase P) is a ubiquitous endoribonuclease, found in archaea, bacteria and eukarya as well as chloroplasts and mitochondria. Its best characterised activity is the generation of mature 5'-ends of tRNAs by cleaving the 5'-leader elements of precursor-tRNAs. Cellular RNase Ps are ribonucleoproteins. Lineage: Bacteria; Pseudomonadati; Planctomycetota; Phycisphaerae; Sedimentisphaerales. The record is from RNAcentral.
UGAGUGGGUCGGGCGGUCGCUGACUGUCGAAAGACAGUCGGAGGAAAGUCCGAGCAGGACAGGGCGCGGUGGCGGCUAACGGCCGCACGGGGUGACCCGAUGGAAAGUGCCACAGAAAAUACACAGCCGACCCAGCGCGUAUUUUAAGGAUUGUCGAUGGGUGGCAUGGCCUGUAGGGGCGGUUCGCGAACCGCCCUCUUGCGUGGCCAUGCUGAAUGCCGAACGGUUAACCGCCCAGCUUGCUGGGCGUUCUCUCGCCGGGUGGCAGCCACCGAAGGUGGAUGACGAUUCUCAAAAUACGCGCUGGGGGCAAUGGUGAAAUGGUGCGGUAAGAGCGCACCGCGUCGCCGGUAACGGCGGCGGCACGGCAAACCCCACCGCCUGCAAGACCAAAUAAGCCGGUCAGUCGGCCCGAUCAUAAUCCGGCGGGUAGGUUGCUCGAGCCGUCAAGCAAUUGACGGCCCAGAUAAAUGACCGCCUAAAACAGAACUCGGCUUACUGACCCACUCAGUUU